RNAcentral lists this long non-coding RNA (897 nucleotides) under Homo sapiens (human). Its description in RNAcentral is "HSALNT0050340". The record is from RNAcentral. Lineage: Eukaryota; Metazoa; Chordata; Mammalia; Primates; Hominidae.
GCUGAAAGGAAAGGGAAUGACAUUGUUUCUGUCCUGCUCUACCCAACAUCAGAGGUGUAAGGAAUGGAUCUGGUAUAUCCUUGUUCACUGCAUAUACUAAGAACAAUCAGGUCACGGGACUGUCCAUUUCCCAAUCUCCCUCAGAAGUGGUGACGUGUAUGCCUGCCUUAAUUGCAGUUAGAAGUGGAGGGCGUUUCUUGAUGCACUGAAAGGAUUGCGCAACAGCUCAUCUGAACGAGCCGCCAUGAUGUGAGGAAGCCCAGGCUAUAUGGAGAUGUUUCAGUCGACAACUCCAGCUGAGGUCCCACCUGACAACCAGCAUCAACUGCCAAAUAUGCGAGUGAGCAAGGUGUCAAGAUGAGUCCAACCGCAGUCACUAUCUGACUGCAACGCCAUGAAAGACUCUAAGCAAGAAAUAGCUAGCGGAGCCCAGUCAACCUCCAGAAGAGCAAAAGAGAAUAAGGUGCUUCUUUCUUCGUCUUAAAAAAGGAGAACUCCAGUCUAAGCAUGAGACAAACAUCAGUCAAACCCAUAAUGGGAGACACUCUACAGGACUCCUGACUAGUACUUGUCAAGACUGUCAAGGUCAUAAGAAACAAGGAAAGGCUGAGAAAUGGUCACAGACCAGAAGAGACUGGAGAGACAUGACAACCAAAUGCAAGGUGGUACCUGGACCAAAUCCUGGAACAGAAAAAGGGCAUGACAAGGGACAGCAGUGGGAAAAGUGGUGAAAUUCGAAUCGAGCCUGGAGUUGAGGUAAUAGCACUGUACCAGUGUCAGUUUCCUAGCCUUGACAAAGGUGCCCUGCUAAUGUAAGAUGCUGACAACGGGUGACAAUGGGUGAGGGAUUUGUGGGAACUCUCUGUAUUACCCUUGCUACAGUCCCAUAAACCUGAA